AUGAACGCUGGCGGCGUGCCUAAUACAUGCAAGUCGAGCGAACAGACGAGGAGCUUGCUCCUCUGACGUUAGCGGCGGACGGGUGAGUAACACGUGGAUAACCUACCUAUAAGACUGGGAUAACUUCGGGAAACCGGAGCUAAUACCGGAUAAUAUAUUGAACCGCAUGGUUCAAUAGUGAAAGACGGUUUUGCUGUCACUUAUAGAUGGAUCCGCGCCGCAUUAGCUAGUUGGUAGGUAACGGCUUACCAAGGCAACGAUGCGUAGCCGACCUGAGAGGGUGAUCGGCCACACUGGAACUGAGACACGGUCCAGACUCCUACGGGAGGCAGCAGUAGGGAAUCUUCCGCAAUGGGCGAAAGCCUGACGGAGCAACGCCGCGUGAGUGAUGAAGGUCUUCGGAUCGUAAAACUCUGUUAUUAGGGAAGAACAAAUGUGUAAGUAACUAUGCACGCCUUGACGGUACCUAAUCAGAAAGCCACGGCUAACUACGUG
Molecule: ribosomal RNA, 495 nt
Filed under: uncultured bacterium
Lineage: Bacteria
Description: partial 16S ribosomal RNA
Rfam family: Bacterial small subunit ribosomal RNA
Source: RNAcentral